Molecule: transfer RNA, 71 nt
Filed under: Camelus bactrianus (Bactrian camel)
Lineage: Eukaryota; Metazoa; Chordata; Mammalia; Artiodactyla; Camelidae
Also listed under: 1 other name
Rfam family: tRNA
About the family: Transfer RNA (tRNA) molecules are approximately 80 nucleotides in length.
Source: Rfam by way of RNAcentral
CCGGGUACAGCUCAUGGUAGAGCGCCUGCCUAGCAUGCACGAGGUCCUGGCUUCAAGCCCCAGUACCUGCA